This 525-nucleotide unclassified non-coding RNA is filed under the name Tubificinae sp. T3_179. Its description in RNAcentral is "sequence contains ITS2". The stretch from base 1 to 99 matches the Rfam family "5.8S ribosomal RNA", at positions 55 to 154 of the family's 154-position model. The record is from RNAcentral. Lineage: Eukaryota; Metazoa; Annelida; Clitellata; Tubificida; Naididae.
GCGUGAAGUAAUGUGAAUUGCAGGACACAUUGAACAUCGACAUCUUGAACGCACAUUGCGGCCUCGGGCAUUCCCGAGGCCACGCCUGUCUCAGGGUCGGUUGAACUUAUCAAUCGUCGGUUGACCGUAUUUGCCGACGCAUUGGAUCGUCGCGGCUCGCGCUGACCGUAAAGGCGCGAUCGGCAUUGACCGUAUUUGUCGAUCGCGCUGCGCAGCCACGUCGUCCGAAGUACAGACGGGUCCAAAGCUUUGCCGACCGCAUGUCCUAAGUCCGCCUGUCGGACGGGGACGGCGACUCGGACCGUAAAGAGAAGCCGUCGCCUGUUCAUUGGCGGUACGGUUGGUAAAGCUGAGGAACCACGAAGCGGAAAACGCGAGCGUCCAACGUCGUAUUCGGAACGACGCCGACGGCGGCCUCUUUACGUUGAGGUUCGUCUGAGGUUCGUCCGCUGUCGACCGCGGCUGCAAGCGUUCAUCUUCUUCGACCUGAGAUCAGACGAGAUUACCCGCUGAAUUUAAGCAUAU